Molecule: ribosomal RNA, 598 nt
Filed under: uncultured bacterium
Lineage: Bacteria
Description: bacterial SSU rRNA
Rfam family: Bacterial small subunit ribosomal RNA
Source: RNAcentral
CUUGCUCUCUGGGUGACGAGCGGCGGACGGGUGAGUAAUGUCUGGGAAACUGCCUGAUGGAGGGGGAUAACUACUGGAAACGGUAGCUAAUACCGCAUAACGUCUUCGGACCAAAGUGGGGGACCUUCGGGCCUCACGCCAUCAGAUGUGCCCAGAUGGGAUUAGCUAGUAGGUGGGGUAAUGGCUCACCUAGGCGACGAUCCCUAGCUGGUCUGAGAGGAUGACCAGCCACACUGGAACUGAGACACGGUCCAGACUCCUACGGGAGGCAGCAGUGGGGAAUAUUGCACAAUGGGCGCAAGCCUGAUGCAGCCAUGCCGCGUGUGUGAAGAAGGCCUUCGGGUUGUAAAGCACUUUCAGCGAGGAGGAAGGGUGGUGUGUUAAUAGCGCAUCACAUUGACGUUACUCGCAGAAGAAGCACCGGCUAACUCCGUGCCAGCAGCCGCGGUAAUACGGAGGGUGCAAGCGUUAAUCGGAAUUACCGGGCGUAAAGCGCACGCAGCGGUUUGUUAAGUCAGAUGUGAAAUCCCCGCGCUUAACGUGGGAACUGCAAUUUGAAACUGGCAAGCUAGAGUCUUGUAGAGGGGGGGUAGAAUUC